UACGAAGGGGGCGAGCGUUGUUCGGAAUUACUGGGCGUAAAGGGCGCGCAGGCGGCUCGACAAGUCAGAUGUGAAAGCCCCGGGCUCAACCUGGGAACGGCAUUUGGGACUGUCGGGCUAGAGUUCGGGAGAGGUGGGUGGAAUUCCCAGUGUAGAGGUGAAAUGCGUAGAUAUCAGGAGGAACACCUGUGGCGAAAGCGGCUCACUGGACCAUAACUGACGCUGAUGCACGAAAGCUAGGGGAGCAAACAGG
Molecule: ribosomal RNA, 253 nt
Filed under: uncultured bacterium
Lineage: Bacteria
Description: partial 16S ribosomal RNA
Rfam family: Bacterial small subunit ribosomal RNA
Source: RNAcentral